GGACAAAAUUUCCGAAGUAGCGGCGAGCGAAAUGGAAAGAGCCCAAAACCGAAUGAUAAUGUCGCAAGAUAUUAUUAAUCGGGGUUGUAAGGUGAUAACGACGUUUUAUUACGUAAAGAGUUACAAAAUGUAUUGAUAGUAGAAGUUGUUGGAAAGCAACGCCAAAGACGGUGAUAGCCCGGUACACGAAAUUAAUAUAUCUCUUUUGUUGUCAUUCUUGAGUACCUCAAGACACGAAUAGCUUGAGGGAAUCCGCCGGAACUAACCGGCAAGGCUAAAUACAUGUAGAGAUCGAUAGUGAACUAGUACCGUGAGGGAAAGGUGAAAAGUAGUCCGAAGGACAGUGAAAUAGACCUGAAACCAUAUGUUUACAAAGAGUCAGAGCGGGCCUCGGGUCCGCCAUGGCGUGCCUAUUGAAGAAUGAGCCAACGAGUUAUGUAUGCUGCUUAG
RNAcentral lists this ribosomal RNA (450 nucleotides) under uncultured bacterium. Its description in RNAcentral is "bacterial LSU rRNA". It matches the Rfam family "Bacterial large subunit ribosomal RNA", at positions 227 to 644 of the family's 2925-position model. The record is from RNAcentral.